AAAAUUGUAUUGAUUUGAACAGUUCUGACAUAUCCGAUGUGGUGUUUUCACCCAUAAACAUGGAUCUUUGCAAUUCUAUCAAUUAAUCGUCCUUUUUUAAGGCCACUCAUCAUCAUCAUUCGGAUGAUGUCCCGUCCCACAAAAUCGACGGUCUGAUCACCGUAUAUAGGUACCGCGUGUGCACUUGAGAUAUCUCGGUGCCCAUUUCAUAGAAAUCAGUGAAGCGGUCGUGUCGCGUCGCCGUUCCAAGAAGAGUUCAUUUUGCCUCUGUCGCAACUGAGAGUCCAGCGUGUGUCGCCAGCCACUGGGCCCAAGCGAUGAGAUAAUCUGCUUAUUUGAACCGUUUAUAUUAUCUUUAAUACCAUAAAUAAGCUAUUUUUUCGUAAUCAUAUUUCAGUGAUGAUACUAACUUUUGAUUUUUAGAUUUGUAUUUGAACCGUUAAUAAUUUUCUUUUCUUUGGUUUGAAUUCAUCUAUGACUAAAGAUUUUCUGUUCAGAGUAAUUUUAUUAGUGUAAUCUGUAUACCAUAUAUUCCGAGGCAUGGAUAGUUGUGAUCAUUAAAUCACUUAUUAUGUGGGCCCCAGUGGCGGCAACAGACUGGGUACUGAAACACGACAGAUGAUUAAAAAACAAAAAACUCAGUUAUGAUACGAAUAAGAUCAUGGAAGCUUGCUGAGCCCACAUGCGAGUACGAGGAAACCCUCUACACGCUGCAGGAUGGCCCAGCGUAGCAUGCAGCCGUGCCAGUGAAAGGUAGAAGCUACGUGGCUCGAUCUUGGGCACCCAUCAUAUAUACCCAGAAUGACCGUCGAUCAGACCGUCCAAAUCGUUAAGAUCAUCAUGGAUGCAUCAUGGACAAAAAAACACACUGAUCAGUAGAUCCUAACUGUCCAUUUUGUGGGCAUUAGUGAUCAAUUUCAAUAGGUAAAAUUAAGCGACUGAGAUCAUCGGAUCAGAUUGAUAUUGGUCCAUGCUCAACCCACAAUAUUGUCCAACAUUUGGACGAUCUAGAUUGAAAUACAUUUAUACUACAUGUACUUUAGUUGGGAAACACAUCAUGCUCGGCUCAUCUUGAAGAACACACCAUUGUAUGGUACUCUUACGAAGCAGAGUGGAUGAUGCUUGCUCUCACUCGUUGUACACUUGGCAUAACUUACAAGAAAUCGAUUCCACGCCGUCGAACUUGUGGACCCCGUGAUUGAUGGGCAUGAUCCAGUAAUCCAUUUAAAGCAACUAAGUGGCCCAUUUUGGAAGAAUCCUCCAAAGCUUGGGAAUUUCUAUUGAAAAUUAGGUGAGGCUAUGAUGUAUCACAAACGAUCGAUUGUAAAAGGAAUAGUUAUACUUGCUUUGUUAGUUAGCACGAAUGUGAAA
This is a long non-coding RNA of Magnolia sinica, 1371 nucleotides long. RefSeq lists it as uncharacterized. The transcript has 2 exons. The record is from RefSeq and is a predicted model, not a curated record. Lineage: Eukaryota; Viridiplantae; Streptophyta; Magnoliopsida; Magnoliales; Magnoliaceae.